This 491-nucleotide ribosomal RNA is filed under the name uncultured bacterium. Its description in RNAcentral is "SSU rRNA". It matches the Rfam family "Bacterial small subunit ribosomal RNA", at positions 26 to 518 of the family's 1533-position model. The record is from RNAcentral.
AGGACGAACGCUGGCGGCGUGCUUAACACAUGCAAGUGGAGCGACGAACCAGGGCUUGCCCUGGGGCAGAGCCGCGAACGGGUGAGUAACACGUGGGUUACCUGCCUCGAUGACCGGGACAACCCGAGGAAACUCGGGCUAAUACCGGAUGUGCCCGCAAGGGGAAAGGAAGCUUCGGCCUCCGCAUUGAGAUGGGCCCGCGGCCCAUUAGCUUGUUGGUGAGGUAACGGCUCACCAAGGCUUCGAUGGGUAGCUGGUCUGAGAGGACGAUCAGCCACACUGGGACUGAGACACGGCCCAGACUCCUACGGGAGGCAGCAGUGGGGAAUCUUGCGCAAUGCGCGAAAGCGUGACGCAGCAACGCCGCGUGGGGGAAGAAGGCUUUCGGGUUGUAAACCCCUUUCAGUUGGGACGAAGCUUCUCCGGUGAAUAGCCGGAUGGAGUGACGGUACCUUCACAAGAGCACCGGCUAACUACGUGCCAGCAGCCGC